Non-coding RNA from Danio rerio (zebrafish), 1135 nucleotides. The record is from RefSeq and is a predicted model, not a curated record. NCBI's taxonomy places the organism in Eukaryota, Metazoa, Chordata, Actinopteri, Cypriniformes, Danionidae.
AAUGAUGUGACCAUUCUAGAUGAUGAUGUAGACGAAAAUGUAAUCGAAACUGUUGACCAGCCAAGCCCACUUCACCCCAUCUUAGAACCAUCAUUACAGGUCUUUGAUCAAAGCCUAUUUCUUGUAUUUGGGUAUACUCACUAUAUUUGAAUAUACCCAAUUCGUGGUUCCAUAAAGAAUGUGUUUGAAGCUAUUCAAAAUUUGAGACUAUUCUUAAUAUUUUAGAAUCUUUUUAUGGGGUAGAAUAUGUAUGUUCUUCAACAAAUUUGCUACAAACAUACAUUGUUUAAUUUAUUUUUACUUUUUACAGAUUUGUCCAAUUUGCCAGAUCUCUUUCCCAACUGAUGUCUUGCCUUUUCAUGCAAGCAUGUGUGGUGAAGGGUAAAGUUAUGCUAAAAAUUGUAGGAUGACAUGCCUUUAAUACUAAAGGAUUAGUUUGCACAGUUUGUUUUGGUUGUAUAUAUCUCGAGGGAGAUGUACAAAGAUCAGAUGGAAUGUAGGGUAAAAAAUUAACAAAAUAAUUUUCUGGUGGACUGUCUUAAAUUUAAAUUAAUGUGUUGGUUUCAUAAACUGGGUCAGUAGUAGACAUUAUUAGAUUUGAUGUAUGUAGCUUUUAUAAGCCUUGCUUUGAGAAAAUCAUUACUGGUGACUUUUGACAUUAAUGACUUUGUCUGGCACUAGGGUCUAAGCCUUGUCUAUGAAACUGGGCAAAUGCUUUUAAUAUGCAUGAAAAUUUUUGAAGUGGCUUAAUGAACAAAAUUGAAAUUGUUUGUGUCUUGCCUGUUUUAGAGAAAGGACUUUUGGUGACAAUGAUUCUUCAUUCACUUUAAAUACAGAAGAAUUGCCAGGACCCUCAACUGCACAAUCUUCAACAUCCCUGUCUGCAGCAUGGAAAAAUGAAAUUGACCCAUUCAAAUCAUCUCGAAUGUUCUGUGAUGAGUUGCUCUCCAUCAAUUCACACUGUCCAUUUCUAUCAUUACUCAUCAACCAGUUUGAUACUAUGGAUGAACAAGAUAGUACCCUGGUUUCAUUUUAUAAAAUGAACAGUGCUAAUUGGUCCACUCCAUUGAAAUAUAGAUUGACUGGAGAUGCAGCUGUUGGCAAGGGAGUUAACCGCCAUAUUUUGUCAAUGAUG